RNAcentral lists this unclassified non-coding RNA (350 nucleotides) under soil metagenome. RNAcentral's name for it is "partial contains 5.8S ribosomal RNA, internal transcribed spacer 2, and large subunit ribosomal RNA". The stretch from base 1 to 120 matches the Rfam family "5.8S ribosomal RNA", at positions 35 to 154 of the family's 154-position model. The record is from RNAcentral.
GAUGAAGAACGUAGCGAAAUGCGAUAAGUAAUGUGAAUUGCAGAAUUCAGUGAAUCAUCGAAUCUUUGAACGCACAUUGCGCCCGCCAGUAUUCUGGCGGGCAUGCCUGUCCGAGCGUCAUUUCAACCCUCGAACCCCUCCGGGGGGUCGGCGUUGGGGAUCGGCCCUUUACGGGGCCGGCCCCGAAAUACAGUGGCGGUCUCGCCGCAGCCUCUCCUGCGCAGUAGUUUGCACACUCGCAUCGGGAGCGCGGCGCGUCCACAGCCGUUAACCACCCCAAACUUCUGAAAUGUUGACCUCGGAUCAGGUAGGAAUACCCGCUGAACUUAAGCAUAUCAAUAAGCGGAGGA